AGCAGCCGCGGUAAUUCCAGCUCCAAUAGCGUAUAUUAAAGUUGUUGCAGUUAAAAAGCUCGUAGUUGAAUUUCGGGGUUAGUAGGUUGGUCAUGCCUCUGGUAUGUACUGGUCUCACUGAUUCCUCCUUCCUGAUGAAUCUUAAUGCCAUUAAUUUGGUGUUUUGGGGAAUUUGGACUGUUACUUUGAAAAAAUUAGAGUGUUUAAAGCAAGCUAACGCUUGAAUACAUUAGCACGGAAUAAUGAAAUAGGACGUUCGAUCCUAUUUUGUUGGUUUCUAGGAUUGACGUAAUGAUUAAUAGGGAUAGUUGGGGGCAUUAGUAUUCAAUUGUCAGAGGUGAAAUUCUUGGAUUUAUUGAAGACCAACUACUGCGAAAGCAUUUGCCAAGGAUGUAUUCAUUAAUCAAGAACGAAAGUUAGGGGAUCGAAGACGAUCAGAUACCGUCGUAGUCUUAACCAUAAACUAUGCCGACUAGGGAUCGGAUGAUGUUAAUUUUUUAAUGACUCA
RNAcentral lists this ribosomal RNA (508 nucleotides) under uncultured glomeraceous AM fungus. RNAcentral describes it as "SSU rRNA". It matches the Rfam family "Eukaryotic small subunit ribosomal RNA", at positions 569 to 1078 of the family's 1831-position model. The record is from RNAcentral. Lineage: Eukaryota; Fungi; Glomeromycota; Glomeromycetes; Glomerales; Glomeraceae.